This 84-nucleotide small nucleolar RNA is filed under the name Ipomoea nil (Japanese morning glory). Its description in RNAcentral is "Small nucleolar RNA R44/J54/Z268 family". It matches the Rfam family "Small nucleolar RNA R44/J54/Z268 family". Rfam says of the family: R44, J54 and Z268 are members of the C/D class of snoRNA which contain the C (UGAUGA) and D (CUGA) box motifs. Most of the members of the box C/D family function in directing site-specific 2'-O-methylation of substrate RNAs. Lineage: Eukaryota; Viridiplantae; Streptophyta; Magnoliopsida; Solanales; Convolvulaceae. The record is from Rfam by way of RNAcentral.
UGUGCAUAUGAUGAUAAACAGACAGGGACAUCAGCACUCUAUGGAGGAUGUUGAUUUGUCAGAUGGGAAUCUCUCUGAUGCACA